GGGGAAUAUUGGGCAAUGGGGGGAACCCUGACCCAGCAACGCCGCGUGGAGGAAGAAGGUUUUCGGAUCGUAAACUCCUGUCCUUGGAGACGAGUAGAAGACGGUAUCCAAGGAGGAAGCCCCGGCUAACUACGUGCCAGCAGCCGCGGUAAUACGUAGGGGGCAAGCGUUGUCCGGAAUAAUUGGGCGUAAAGGGCGCGUAGGCGGCUCGGUAAGUCUGGAGUGAAAGUCCUGCUUUUAAGGUGGGAAUUGCUUUGGAUACUGUCGGGCUUGAGUGCAGGAGAGGUUAGUGGAAUUCCCAGUGUAGCGGUGAAAUGCGUAGAGAUUGGGAGGAACACCAGUGGCGAAGGCGACUAACUGGACUGUAACUGACGCUGAGGCGCGAAAGUGUGGGGAGCAAACAGGAUUAGAUACCCUGGUAGUCCACACUGUAAACGAUGAAUGCUAGGUGUAGGGGGUAUCGACCCCUUCUGUGCCGCAGUCAACACAAUAAGCAUUCCGCCUGGGGAGUACGGCCGCAAGGUUGAAACUCAAAGGAAUUGACGGGGGCCCGCACAAGCAGCGGAGCAUGUGGUUUAAUUCGACGCAACGCGAAGAACCUUACCAGGUCUUGACAUCCACUUAAACUUACAGAGAUGUAAGGUGUGCUUGCACAAAGUGAGACAGGUGGUGCAUGGUUGUCGUCAGCUCGUGUCGUGAGAUGUUGGGUUAAGUCCCGCAACGAGCGCAACCCUUAUCUUCAGUUACUAACGCGUGAAGGUGAGGACUCUGAAGAGACUGCCGGGGACAACUCGGAGGAAGGUGGGGACGACGUCAAAUCAUCAUGCCCCUUAUGACCUGGGCUACACACGUGCUACAAUGGCCACGACAGAGAGAAGCGAAAUCGUAAGGUAGAGCGGAACUCAAAAAAGUGGUCCCAGUUCGGAUUGUGGGCUGCAACCCGCCCACAUGAAGUCGGAGUUGCUAGUAAUCGCGGAUCAGCAUGCCGCGGUGAAUACGUUCCCG
RNAcentral lists this ribosomal RNA (1005 nucleotides) under uncultured bacterium. Its description in RNAcentral is "bacterial SSU rRNA". It matches the Rfam family "Bacterial small subunit ribosomal RNA", at positions 356 to 1376 of the family's 1533-position model. The record is from RNAcentral.